Molecule: non-coding RNA, 72 nt
Organism: Dermatophagoides pteronyssinus (European house dust mite)
Lineage: Eukaryota; Metazoa; Arthropoda; Arachnida; Sarcoptiformes; Pyroglyphidae
Source: the annotation of a RefSeq genome assembly
GCCACUGUGGCUCAGAGGCAGAGCACUGGUCUCGUAAACCAGGGGUCGAGAGUUCGAACCUCUCCAGUGGCU